RNAcentral lists this unclassified non-coding RNA (4837 nucleotides) under Manduca sexta (tobacco hornworm). RNAcentral describes it as "aLK tyrosine kinase receptor, transcript variant X1". The record is from RNAcentral. Lineage: Eukaryota; Metazoa; Arthropoda; Insecta; Lepidoptera; Sphingidae.
GCGGGCCGAUACCUGCGCAGCAUCCAGCCAGACGCCGUUUCAAGAUCACAUCUCGCGAAAAGUAAUGAUUAUUUUCGUUCCGCGGGCGUGUAGUUCCGCAUAUUCCCGCGGCGGCGCUGCGCACGGGUGUCGACACAGCGAUACCUACCUCGUUAUAUUGAAGUUAAAAAUGCAUUACCAGUGCUCCAAAUUUUUAAAUUAGUAUAUUAUAUUUGCGUUAUACAAUAAUUUGAUACGUGUUUUGUGUUUUUGAAUCAAGGAAUGAUCGUUUGAGGCGCGCAGUGUGGUGUGAAUAUAGUGUUAUUCGCGUGCGUAGGUUCGUGCGGUGCGCGAUUUUCCAGGGUUGAGCGGGCGGGUGCCUCGCGGGACGGGCUGUGAGCGUCCAAACGAUGUGCUAGUGUUAAUAUGAACGUCGCAAUAUGCGUGCGGACCUCGAUGGAUUUGCAAAUCUGUUCGCAGUCGAUCGCGUCGUUCGUGCGAACUCACCACGUACUGUAGGGUAGGUUGCCUUCAUACGGACUGUGACGAAUGUUCUUACCGGUGGCGCGGGAUGAAGCGGCACCGUGCCUCGGUCACAUCCAUCUAAAUACAAGCCCGAACUAAUGGCGCUGGCUAAAAUUAUUGUGAUAUGCACGUUGGUCGCCAUCGCGUCCGGCCACAGCUAUGAAGUCAAAGCAGAAGAUAAAGAGAAGAAAGCCAUGGCGGCGGAAAAAGAACAGAACUUGAGAUCAGCCAAUCCCGCGAGGAAUGGGCCAUGGGACCGGCUGUCAGCGUUGAUGAACCGGACUGAGGAAAGAAAGAACCGUCGCCGACCGAAACAGCACGCUGAAGGCAUGCUGAACGACAACGAAGGGAUCCAGAUCAGUCAGAAAAUAACACCCGACAACGACUCGUACACGCUCACGGACAAGAUAAAGAUACUGCGCCCCAACGUGCCCACAUACGAGGCAGUCAGUAAAUACAAUUUCAUAUCGCAGGCUACUGGAGUGUUCUGUAAUUUCGAGAUGGGUAAUGGGUCGCACGUGGACUUGUGCAUGUGGCAGUGGAACACGACGGUGUCCAGCCACGGGCUAGGGUUCAGGGUACUGAGCGCGGCGGACGUGGUGGCGUUGAACUCUACCACCAGGGGACUGAAGUUCUCCGGGCCUGACACUGACGCUGACGGCAACCCUGGAGGUCAUUUCUUGUACUUGCCAGUGGAUCCAACGAUGGAGAACAUGGCGAUAAAGUCUCCGCCUUUUCGAGGCCUCUGGGAGUUCUGUAAGUUCGAGGCUCAGUUACACCAGAGCAAGAUGCAGAACGCCAGCAUCCGGUUAAUAUCCGAGUCAACGCUCUCGGAAGUGCAGUGGAUACUCCAGGAAGUGGCUGGGAAUAAUUUCGAAAUGUGGCACCCAAUGCGUUUCAUGAUCGGCAACAUGCAGCAAGAAGUCCGCAUUAUAAUAGAGAUAACUCGGCCAAAUUACGUGAGCCUCGCGCAGACGCUGCCGCACAUCGCCAUCGACAACAUCCGCAUGCUAGAGUGUGUCCCCGAGCCCCCCGUUUAUAACGGCGAGUGCGUCCCUGGACAAUUGAAGUGCAAGUAUUUGAGUAUUGAUUCGUGCAUCAAGCUGCAUCAGGUGUGUGACCUUGCUAAAGACUGUGACGAUGGAAGCGAUGAGCAACAGAAUUGCGACAAAAUGCCGUACGGAUCGUACUGUAACUUCGAGCAUGACGCUUGCGGCUUCGAGAACGUUCCUCAGCCAAUACUAAAAUGGUCGCGGCACAGCGGGCCGACGCCUACAGACAAGACAGGGCCGAACUACGACCACACGUGCGGGCCCCCGGUCCCCCAUCCCACAGUGAUCAUGCCCCCACUUCUCCCAGCCCACGUGAACUACAGCCUAUCCCAAUGCGUGGGAUACUAUUUCUUCGUAAACAUGAAUGUGACUGGACCUAAUAGGGAAAAAGCGGAUUUUGCCUCAACAGCUAUUAUGAGGACUGUCGUAUUCAAUCCGCCUCCGAAAGUCCACGGGAAUCUUACUUCGAAGUAUUACAAUUGUUGUAUGAUAAGGUUCUAUUACCAACAAAAUGGCCGUAACUACGGCUCCCUGGGGGUGGAUGUGGUAGAACUCACUUCCAGGGGAAACACCACCACCUCCCUCUGGUUCUCCACCAAAGACAAGGGAGCGAAGUGGUACAGAGCGUCUAUAUUCCUACCAAACAUUACUAGGAGAUACUACCUCCAAUUCAAGACUCGUAUGGGAAUGCGAAUUUAUUCAGACUCAGCUAUCGACGACUUUUCAAUGUCUCCAGAAUGUUUUGGGCUAAACAUAGACCCUGAAGAACUAGGGGACUAUAAUUACUACGACCCUGUGUUCGAAGUGAAGACCACGCCGCACACUGCGUUUGCUGAUAAACCUUUCUACCGCUUCACGACCUGCGGGGCUACGGGUCGGUUCGGACCCAACCAGUCAAUGUGCGACGCUGUGUACAACAACACCCCUGUCUCCGUCUCUGUGGUGAACACCCCACCAUACCAGGGUAUACAGGUGUGGGAGGUGCCGGCUGAGGGAUUGUACACGAUAAUAGCAACAGGAGCGAGUGGCGGGAUGGGCUCGGCGUGGGCGGGCGUGUCGCAUGGCGCUACAGCUCGCGCGUUGUUUGAACUGCAUCGAAGUGAACAGAUCUACAUGUUGGUCGGACAGCAAGGCACUAACGCUUGUAAAAAGACGCUAUCAGCGCAGGAGAGCCAGUCCUGCUCCCGGAAGCAGAGCAACGAGACCUCCCACGUGUACACGAGUAAGACGCACGAGGUGCGCAACACGCAGGUCACGGACGGCGGCGGCGGCGGCGGGGGAGCCACUUACGUAUUUUUGCUGGAUAAAGAAGGGGAGGCUUACCCCCUAGUGGCGGCUGGAGGUGGUGGCGGGCUUUCCGUGGGCGCGUUCAGGGACGACGGCUCCCAGCACGGCCGCUUCCACACCAACGCCACGCCAGAGUCCGGGUAUAUGUACGGACAUCCGGGGCGGACGUCAGGUGCCGGUGGAGGCUGGGUGCCUCGCGCUGGUCCCAGUACCCCGGGCUUCGAGCUGGUCCGAGGGGCAGCUGUUAAAGAAGGUGGCGUGGGAGGGCAAGCAUGCGUGGGACAAGCUCAUGGAGGCUUCGGAGGAGGCGGCGGAGGGUGUUUGAGAGGCGGAGGCGGAGGCGGGUGGUUAGGUGGUAAUACGAACGAAGGCGAGCAUGGCGGUGGUGGAUGGUCGUAUAUAGAAGGAACCCGCGCUAUCCGGGACUAUAGUGACGUGAGUGUGGCGCUCAGGACCGGGCCAGGGGAAGUGCUGAUCAUACCGGCGAUACACGACUGUGGGUGCGACUACCGCUGCGUGGCGCUGAACGAGUACCGCAGCGAUGUGAAGUGCUACUGUCCCGCCACCUGGAGCACCGACCUGCACGACGCCACCAAGUGCAUACUGGAGGACUCGUGGCCGCGGGUGUCGUGGGUGGUGAUCAUCGUGCUGUCGGUGGUGGUGUUCGUGUGCGCGCUGGCGGUGCUCUGCGUCUGUCUCUACCUCUACAAUACGUACCAACGCAAGAAAGAAGCGGAGCAGCGUCAGAAGCGAAUCCUAGAACAGGAGGUCCAGCUACAGAGACUGAGGAAUGCUCCCGGAGGAAAUGACAACGCGCUCAACAUGGCCUUCAACCCACACUACGGGAGCGAAGGCUUCCUCCCCCAGGGCAUCGAUGUGAGGGGCCUGCCCCAAGUGUCCAGGGAGAGUUUGAGGCUUGUCAAGGCCCUCGGUCAAGGCGCAUUUGGAGAAGUCUACCAAGGUCUCUACCGCCAUCGGUCAGCGGAUGCAGCGGAAAUGCCGGUAGCCGUGAAGACGUUACCGGAACUCUCCACGGGCCAGGCCGAAGCCGACUUCCUAAUGGAAGCCGCCAUCAUGGCCAAGUUCAACCAUGCUAAUAUCGUGCAUCUGAUUGGAGUGUGCUUUGAUCGACAUCCGAGAUUCAUAGUCCUCGAGCUGCUUGCCGGAGGAGACUUGAAGAACUUCCUCCGCGAGAACCGGCCGAAGCCUGAACGAGCCAGCGUGCUCACUAUGAAGGACCUGUUGCUCUGUUCCCUGGACGUUAGUAAAGGAUGCAGAUACUUGGAGAGCAAGCGGUUCAUACACAGGGACAUAGCAGCUCGCAACUGCCUCCUGACCUCCAGAGGUCCGGGGCGCGUGGUCAAGAUCGCGGACUUCGGCAUGGCCCGGGACAUAUACCGAGCUGAUUACUACAAGAAGGGAGGCAAGGCCAUGCUCCCGAUAAAAUGGAUGCCGCCCGAAGCCUACAUCGAUGGUGUUUUCACUAUCAAAACUGAUGUUUGGUCGUUCGGCGUGUUGCUGUGGGAGGUGUUCUCUCUGGGCGUGAUGCCGUACACCGGCUGCGCCAACAGGGAGGUCAUGGAACUCGUCUCCGGAGGAGGCAGGCUCGAGAAACCAUACGGUUGUCCCCACGAGAUCUAUCGUCUGAUGUGCGAGUGUUGGAACCCGGCUCCCACCGAGAGACCUUCCUUCGCGGCGAUAUUUGACAGACUGCAGAGGUUCAUACAGGACCCUGCAAUAGUGGGAGCAUCUCUGCCGGUGGUGCGGUCGUUGUUACCACCCACCGCCCUGGACGAUUUAGAUGGACCGCAGCUCAACGGGUCUGCUUGUACUUCAUAGCAUAACGCCAACGGUGACACAGGACCCAGAAGAAACGGAGGAUUUACAAUAUCUACCUCUGCUGAGAGCAUCACAAGAAUAUGGCAACAUUCAAAUGCUGAGGAACGGAACGGGCGCAAGGCUCGAGGUGUGCGCUGCUUCCGCCGCCGAGACCG